Molecule: ribosomal RNA, 2925 nt
Filed under: Escherichia coli
Lineage: Bacteria; Pseudomonadati; Pseudomonadota; Gammaproteobacteria; Enterobacterales; Enterobacteriaceae
Description: 23S ribosomal RNA
Rfam family: Bacterial large subunit ribosomal RNA
Source: RNAcentral
GGGUUGUGAGGUUAAGCGACUAAGCGUACACGGUGGAUGCCCUGGCAGUCAGAGGCGAUGAAGGACGUGCUAAUCUGCGAUAAGCGUCGGUGAGGUGAUAUGAACCGUUAUAACCGGCGAUUUCCGAAUGGGGAAACCCAGUGUGUUUCGACACACUAUCAUUAACUGAAUCCAUAGGUUAAUGAGGCGAACCGGGGGAACUGAAACAUCUAAGUACCCCGAGGAAAAGAAAUCAACCGAGAUUCCCCCAGUAGCGGCGAGCGAACGGGGAGGAGCCCAGAGCCUGAAUCAGUGUGUGUGUUAGUGGAAGCGUCUGGAAAGGCGCGCGAUACAGGGUGACAGCCCCGUACACAAAAAUGCACAUAUUGUGAGCUCGAUGAGUAGGGCGGGACACGUGGUAUCCUGUCUGAAUAUGGGGGGACCAUCCUCCAAGGCUAAAUACUCCUGACUGACCGAUAGUGAACCAGUACCGUGAGGGAAAGGCGAAAAGAACCCCGGCGAGGGGAGUGAAAAAGAACCUGAAACCGUGUACGUACAAGCAGUGGGAGCCUCUUAAUGGGGUGACUGCGUACCUUUUGUAUAAUGGGUCAGCGACUUAUAUUCUGUAGCAAGGUUAACCGAAUAGGGGAGCCGAAGGGAAACCGAGUCUUAACUGGGCGUUAAGUUGCAGGGUAUAGACCCGAAACCCGGUGAUCUAGCCAUGGGCAGGUUGAAGGUUGGGUAACACUAACUGGAGGACCGAACCGACUAAUGUUGAAAAAUUAGCGGAUGACUUGUGGCUGGGGGUGAAAGGCCAAUCAAACCGGGAGAUAGCUGGUUCUCCCCGAAAGCUAUUUAGGUAGCGCCUCGUGAAUUCAUCUCCGGGGGUAGAGCACUGUUUCGGCAAGGGGGUCAUCCCGACUUACCAACCCGAUGCAAACUGCGAAUACCGGAGAAUGUUAUCACGGGAGACACACGGCGGGUGCUAACGUCCGUCGUGAAGAGGGAAACAACCCAGACCGCCAGCUAAGGUCCCAAAGUCAUGGUUAAGUGGGAAACGAUGUGGGAAGGCCCAGACAGCCAGGAUGUUGGCUUAGAAGCAGCCAUCAUUUAAAGAAAGCGUAAUAGCUCACUGGUCGAGUCGGCCUGCGCGGAAGAUGUAACGGGGCUAAACCAUGCACCGAAGCUGCGGCAGCGACACUAUGUGUUGUUGGGUAGGGGAGCGUUCUGUAAGCCUGUGAAGGUGGCCUGUGAGGGGUGCUGGAGGUAUCAGAAGUGCGAAUGCUGACAUAAGUAACGAUAAAGCGGGUGAAAAGCCCGCUCGCCGGAAGACCAAGGGUUCCUGUCCAACGUUAAUCGGGGCAGGGUGAGUCGACUCCUAAGGCGAGGCCGAAAGGCGUAGUCGAUGGGAAACAGGUUAAUAUUCCUGUACUUGGUGUUACUGCGAAGGGGGGACGGAGAAGGCUAUGUUGGCCGGGCGACGGUUGUCCCGGUUUAAGCGUGUAGGCUGGUUUUCCAGGCAAAUCCGGAAAACCAAGGCUGAGGCGUGAUGACGAGGCACUACGGUGCUGAAGUGACAAAUGCCCUGCUUCCAGGAAAAGCCUCUAAGCAUCAGGUAACAUCAAAUCGUACCCCAAACCGACACAGGUGGUCAGGUAGAGAAUACCAAGGCGCUUGAGAGAACUCGGGUGAAGGAACUAGGCAAAAUGGUGCCGUAACUUCGGGAGAAGGCACGCUGAUAUGUAGGUGAAGCGACUUGCUCGUGGAGCUGAAAUCAGUCGAAGAUACCAGCUGGCUGCAACUGUUUAUUAAAAACACAGCACUGUGCAAACACGAAAGUGGACGUAUACGGUGUGACGCCUGCCCGGUGCCGGAAGGUUAAUUGAUGGGGUUAGCGGUAACGCGAAGCUCUUGAUCGAAGCCCCGGUAAACGGCGGCCGUAACUAUAACGGUCCUAAGGUAGCGAAAUUCCUUGUCGGGUAAGUUCCGACCUGCACGAAUGGCGUAAUGAUGGCCAGGCUGUCUCCACCCGAGACUCAGUGAAAUUGAACUCGCUGUGAAGAUGCAGUGUACCCGCGGCAAGACGGAAAGACCCCGUGAACCUUUACUAUAGCUUGACACUGAACAUUGAGCCUUGAUGUGUAGGAUAGGUGGGAGGCUUUGAAGUGUGGACGCCAGUCUGCAUGGAGCCGACCUUGAAAUACCACCCUUUAAUGUUUGAUGUUCUAACGUUGGCCCGUAAUCCGGGUUGCGGACAGUGUCUGGUGGGUAGUUUGACUGGGGCGGUCUCCUCCUAAAGAGUAACGGAGGAGCACGAAGGUUGGCUAAUCCUGGUCGGACAUCAGGAGGUUAGUGCAAUGGCAUAAGCCAGCUUGACUGCGAGCGUGACGGCGCGAGCAGGUGCGAAAGCAGGUCAUAGUGAUCCGGUGGUUCUGAAUGGAAGGGCCAUCGCUCAACGGAUAAAAGGUACUCCGGGGAUAACAGGCUGAUACCGCCCAAGAGUUCAUAUCGACGGCGGUGUUUGGCACCUCGAUGUCGGCUCAUCACAUCCUGGGGCUGAAGUAGGUCCCAAGGGUAUGGCUGUUCGCCAUUUAAAGUGGUACGCGAGCUGGGUUUAGAACGUCGUGAGACAGUUCGGUCCCUAUCUGCCGUGGGCGCUGGAGAACUGAGGGGGGCUGCUCCUAGUACGAGAGGACCGGAGUGGACGCAUCACUGGUGUUCGGGUUGUCAUGCCAAUGGCACUGCCCGGUAGCUAAAUGCGGAAGAGAUAAGUGCUGAAAGCAUCUAAGCACGAAACUUGCCCCGAGAUGAGUUCUCCCUGAGACUUAGAGUCUCCUGAAGGAACGUUGAAGACGACGACGUUGAUAGGCCGGGUGUGUAAGCGCAGCGAUGCGUUGAGCUAACCGGUACUAAUGAACCGUGAGGCUUAACCUUACAACGCCGAAG